AUCCGUGUGCAGGUUUUUGUGUGGAAAAGGUUUUCAACUCCUUUCAUAAAUAAGGGGCGUGGCUGCUGGAAGUUAACGCAACUUUUACUUUGCCUUGAUGGCUCUCAAGCGGGGCUGCCCAUUAUAACCACCUGCUCCCAGGGGCAACAGUUCUUGGUGUGAGGAACAUGGACUUGCCCUUCCCUCUGCACCAGCUUGACCUGGCCAGUUCCUUGUGGCUAACAGAGUGGACAUCUGUCACUGUCUGCCUGGGGCAGGGUGAAGACCAGGAGAUGUCUGAGAAAGUCUCCCUGGAGCUGGAAAGUGGCAUUACUGAAACAUUCCAGAAACGAGCUGAAGUCACUCAAGGAAGGCCUUGGGAACUAGGGUUUGGCCCGGUGGGCAGCGCAUGGUAGACAUUCACACGCGCUCCAGCACUGAACACUGCGACCUGGCAGGACGGACCUUCAGGCACCCAGGCUGCCUACUGACCUCCCUGGCAUGGGUGGGAACCGGGAGCUCGUUGGUAAGCAGGAGGAUUCAGGACUAUCGACUGAACCCCACCUCCUCUGUGGCACGCACCGUGCUGUGUCUUUGCAGUCAUCAUCUCAUCACCUCUGCACAGGAAGAUUAUCUCCCCCAUUUUGUGAUGAGGAAAUGGAGGCUCCAGGUGGAAAGAUGCAACCUGGGCCAGAGGCCCCUGGAGGUUGUGCCUGAACCCAGACAGAUCACACAAACCUGAGCAGCCAUUAGCCGCUGUGUGGGCUCCUUUGCACUGUGGGGCUGCUCCUGGGGAUAUUUACGUUGUGAACUGGUAAAAUCUGAACUGCAGAAUAUCAAUUUCCAGACAUUCUUCCUAGAUGAUGCCGUCUGCCACGGCAGGGACCUCUAUCACCCAAAGGGAAACAGCCGUCUAUCUACGAAGCUGUGAUCUCCCCUACAAGCAAGAGAACUCAAUUGCCAGGAGGUCUUUGCUUUUUCUGGCUUCCAGAGAAUGCAGAAAUUUCAAGGAGCCACUAUUGGGCUCCUUCCCUAUAGGAUGUUGGGCCAGGCAACAGAACAAACCUCCUGAGGCACUUCUACCUGGGAAUGCCCUCCUGAGGCCAAUGGCAGCCCUCUGAUGAAGAUACUAUAGUAUUUAUUUUUUGUACACGCUGGUGAUCAUCCAGUGUACAUCUCUGCUUAGUGAACCUUCAUGAACUGGAGGCUGAAUAUUCUCAUCCUGCAUUGAUAGAACCACGUAGGCUGGUUCUAGGCUGUUUUCUGUG
RNAcentral lists this long non-coding RNA (1247 nucleotides) under Homo sapiens (human). Its description in RNAcentral is "long intergenic non-protein coding RNA 539". Lineage: Eukaryota; Metazoa; Chordata; Mammalia; Primates; Hominidae. The record is from RNAcentral.